UACGUAGGGUGCAAGCGUUGUCCGGAAUUAUUGGGCGUAAAGAGCUCGUAGGCGGUUUGUCGCGUCGGCUGUGAAAACCUGAGGCUCAACCUCGGGCCUGCAGUCGAUACGGGCAGACUAGAGUUCGGUAGGGGAGACUGGAAUUCCUGGUGUAGCGGUGGAAUGCGCAGAUAUCAGGAGGAACACCGGUGGCGAAGGCGGGUCUCUGGGCAGAAACUGACGCUGAGGAGCGAAAGCGUGGGGAGCAAACAGG
This 253-nucleotide ribosomal RNA is filed under the name uncultured bacterium. RNAcentral's name for it is "partial 16S ribosomal RNA". It matches the Rfam family "Bacterial small subunit ribosomal RNA", at positions 524 to 776 of the family's 1533-position model. The record is from RNAcentral.